GUAUUUAUGAUGCGUUCAUCAGCUGUAGUUGUUUGAUGCAGGUUGACGUGGAUUUUACUGUAAACAUGCUUUGAAAGGUUCUCCCAUCGAUAAAAUCAUCUGGGAUAUUCAAACAUGUACAAUGUAUGUCCACAUCCAUGGGGGUGAUGAACGAUUUUACCCUGAUGACAGCCAAAAUAAUCCCUAAACUUUGCAAAAUUUACUGAAUGCUUUUGGGUGACCAUCUUUUCUAAAUUAAAAGCUUUAUGUACCAUCUUUUCUAAAGUUGCUCCAAGAUCUCACAAAUACAUUUAAAAACAUUUAGAAAAUCAAUAUUCUAAAUACAGCAGAAUAAUGAGAUAUGCCCUAUUAGAAUUAUUGUUUGUUGAGCACAAAAAGUAGCCAUUGAAAAAAAUGAAAGGAAAGAAAUAAACCCUAAAAUUUAGCAAUGGCCAAAAUGUGGCAAAAUAUGCCCCUAAAAAUGAAAUUAUUUCCUACAUUGAUAUACAUGAAGAUACACACCAGUUUUCAUUAUGAAAGCCCAUACUUUUUUCUUGUUUAAUAUCCUUAUAUGACAUAUUUCAGUCUGCCCACAUACAUGUAGAAUAAAUUAUGAGUUAUUCAUUAGUAGUGAGGAGAGUGUUUUAAUUUGGUUUUAACAAAUAACACUAUUAUGUGGAGAUCAAGCUGAUUCUGUAAAUUAGGUCAAAUAUAUUUUUAUUGAUGAAACACAAAACUUUUUGUUUACUUGUUUGUUUAUCUUUUUUUUCAUUUGCAGAUGAGGAGGAGGAAGUCACAUUGAUGUAUGCACAACAUGAGAGGAUUCCAAUGAAAGACUUCAGUGCAGAGGUCAGAGCCACCCUCGAUGUAGGAAACUUUGUGAAUCGAGCCACACUUCUUCUGGACAUCAACCAGACAAGUUUAGAAUCCAUAGUCACCCUUCUCCUGGCCAAGAUGCUAGCUGGAGAUGAACGCUCGGACAUGAUCAUGAAGGAAGGUCGGGCUGCAUUGAUGACCCAUGAUUCGGGUAAGAGACUCUCAGUGUAGGAUAUGAAUCUUAGACCAUUCAAGAAUCCAAAGUGACCCUUAUUCUAGCCAAGGUGUUGGCAGGAGGUGACCUGGAAAAGACCAACAUGAUCUUGGUUUAAGGUCAGGCUGCAUUGAUGAUGGGUGAUUUUCAUUCUAGAAUAUGAAAUUUAGCCCAAUUAAAAAUCAGUAGUGACCCUUCUCUUUUACAUGAUGUUGGCUGGAAACGAAUGCUCUGAUAUGAUCAUGAAGGAAGGUCAAGCUGCAUUGAUGAUCCAUGAUUGUGAUUCUCAAUGGAAGAUAUGAAUUUUAGACAAAUCUAUAAUCUUUAAUAGUGACCCUUAUCCUAGCCAAGGUGUAGGCUGGAGAUGAAAGGACUUAGAUGAUCUUGAUGGAGGUCAGACUACAUCGAUGACCCACUAUGAUCCUCAGGCUCGGAUUUAAAUUAUGAAAAAGGCUUAAACCAGUGUACAAACCAUAGUCUUCCUCUCUUUAUAGUCAAGAUAUGUUGAGGAUUAGGAAUCAAGAAUCUGACAUGAUAAUGAAUAAAGGUCAUUUUCAGUCAUUAAUAUGCUAGUUGACCAUUUUUAAUCCAUGGUGACCCUUUGAUGUGCAAGAUCUUGGUUGAAUAUUAAAAUUAAAGUAAUUUAUUAGUUGACUUUACUAAAUAUUUUUUUUUACUGCAAAGUCAUCUUUCUCAGAGAAUCAGCUACAUCUCUGCUUUGUUAAAAGCACAGUACUUUAACCUUUGCUCACAUGACUUAACUGACAUUAAAUCCUCAAAGAAUUUGGUGAAGAAUGUCACCAGAGCCACUCUAAUGUUGCCACCCAAUCAGUCUCGUCACUCAGAGGGGAACAUGUGACGAGCCCUCGCCAUCAUGUUUCGGGUGACACAAAUGAGCGUAGUGUUUACGUCAUAUUCCAUGCAGAUGUUGUAAUUAUAUGUGGCGUUGAGAAGUUUGAACCGGCUUUAUUUAUAUUCACCUGGGCUCCCUCUUUUCCAUUCCUUCUGUUUCGGUUCAGAAAAAAAAAUGAAGGAAAUAUGCCUAAGGCUCGACUGAGAUUUGGAAAGGAGAAGGUGAAUGCGUAAGUUGUGCUAAUCGAUAUCACUCGCAUUUGCAUUGAAAUCAGUGCAAAUAGAUCUGCCAAUUUCAAUAUUUCCACGUUUUGUUUGCUAACCUCUCUCCUAAAACCCAAGUUGCUUUUGACCAAGUUAGAAGAUGAUAUGGUUGAUCACAAUGUCAAUGUUUUAUAUCGCCUUACUCAUAAAUAUUCAUACAAAGGAGUGUGGCCCCUUUGUAGAUAAAAUAGAGAAUUGGCUGUGAGAUUAGAUUUUGAAAGAAACUUUUUUAAAGUGAUUGUGAAAUGUAGAUUAUAAUGUCCUUUAAACUGAGUAGUGUAUAGGAUGAUGUGAUGUUAUUUAGUCUCCAAACCAAGCUUUAUGAACAAUUUUAUGAAACCAACCACCAGAUGUGUCAUGCAGUUUUCAGGCAAAAAUCUUAAGAGGGCCAUGAUAGUCUAUUUUCAGGCAGUAAUUUAUGUUAUUUUUGUAAAGACGGAAAGAAGUUUUCUUAAAAUUAUUCAUUUUCAACAAUCUAGGCAACACUGUAAAGUGCUUUGUUGUAUUCAAGUCUUAUGUUUCCUCAAAGAAGAUUUUCUGUCAUCAAUCUACUCCUUAUUCAUGAAAAAAGAGAGGGAGAUGUGUACAUCAAACAUCACUUACAAUACCUCUCAAAUUGAUAUAGAUCUUGCCCAAAUGAACAGUCUUUGAAGAAAAGAAUAAAUUCAUCAGUCCUGGUUAUUUAUAGCGGAUUGCUUUCAUGAUAAAAGCAUCCUAAGUGUAAUAACAGAGAGAUGAUAUAUUCAUUCAUCGGCUAUCGUUCUCUCUCUCUUGCGAAUCCUCCUGCCGCCGCCGCCGUUACUCAAGAAAAAAGCUUCAUAAAUUUAUUCACUAUGUAGAACUCACUCAUAAUAUUACUCUUCCCAAGGUGUUUAUUCUCUUGAUGAAAAACAAAAGAAUUUGGUUGCUAUGUAUCUCAGUUUGGUUUUAGAUCUUAAAGCCUUUAUUAAGUUGAUAAUAUAUAAUAUAUAAAGGUUAUUUACAGAUGUAUAUUCAAAAUUUGUGAAUCAAUUCUUCACUUUCAGAUAAGAUGAAAGAGUAUACCAUAGAUCAUGCACUAUGGGGAAAAGAUGCAAUUGAAAAUCUAUUCUUUGUGGGUGAUUGUACAAUAUAAAUUAAAAACAAGGAGGGAAGGCAAACUAAAACAUGAAAUAGGAAAGGGGUAAGAAUGAAAAAGAUAGAGGGAGAGAGAAAGAAAUAAUAGAGAGGGGGCAGAAAUUGAGGAAAAAGAAUAGUGGGAGACAGUGAGAAAGGGAAAUGAAGAAAAUGGAGAAAUAGAAAAAUAGAGAGGAAAGAGACC
Lytechinus pictus (painted urchin) is the source of this 3425-nucleotide long non-coding RNA. RefSeq lists it as uncharacterized. The transcript is spliced from 3 exons. The record is from RefSeq and is a predicted model, not a curated record. NCBI's taxonomy places the organism in Eukaryota, Metazoa, Echinodermata, Echinoidea, Temnopleuroida, Toxopneustidae.